This 485-nucleotide ribosomal RNA is filed under the name uncultured bacterium. RNAcentral describes it as "bacterial SSU rRNA". It matches the Rfam family "Bacterial small subunit ribosomal RNA", at positions 30 to 507 of the family's 1533-position model. The record is from RNAcentral.
AUUGAACGCUGGCGGAAUGCUUUACACAUGCAAGUCGAGCGGCAGCGCGGUCUUCGGACUGGCGGCGAGCGGCGAACGGGUGAGUAAUACAUCGGAACAUGCCCAGUCGUGGGGGGAUAACACUUCGAAAGAAGUGCUAAUACCGCAUACGUCCUGAGGGAGAAAGCGGGGGAUCGCAAGACCUCGCGCGAUUGGAGUGGCCGAUGUCAGAUUAGCUAGUUGGUGAGGUAAAGGCUCACCAAGGCGACGAUCUGUAACUGGUCUGAGAGGAUGAUCAGUCACACUGGAACUGAGACACGGUCCAGACUCCUACGGGAGGCAGCAGUGGGGAAUAUUGGACAAUGGGGGCAACCCUGAUCCAGCCAUGCCGCGUGUGUGAAGAAGGCCCUAGGGUUGUAAAGCACUUUCAGUGGGGAGAAAGGUUAUUCACCUAAUACGUGAGUAGAUUGAUGUUACCCACAGAAGAAGCACCGGCUAACUCCGUG